This 406-nucleotide ribosomal RNA is filed under the name uncultured bacterium. RNAcentral describes it as "partial 16S ribosomal RNA". It matches the Rfam family "Bacterial small subunit ribosomal RNA", at positions 30 to 526 of the family's 1533-position model. The record is from RNAcentral.
AUUGAACGCUGGCGGCAGGCCUAACACAUGCAAGUCGAACGAGUGGCGGACGGGUGAGUAAUGUCUGGGAAACUGCCUGAUGGAGGGGGAUAACUACUGGAAACGGUAGCUAAUACCGCAUACCAUCAGAUGUGCCCAGAUGGGAUUAGCUAGUGGGUGGGGUAACGGCUCACCAAGGCGACGAUCCCUAGCUGGUCUGAGAGGAUGAUCAGCACAACUGGAACUGAGACACGGUCCAGACUCCGACGGGAGGCAGCAGUGGGAGAUAUUGGACAAUGGGCACAAGCCUGAUACAGCCAUUCCGCGUGUGUGAAGAAGGUCUUCGGAUUGUAAAGCACUUUAAGCUGGGAGGCGUUAACAACAGAAUAAGCACCGGCUAACUUCGUGCCAGCAGCCGCGGUAAUAC